GUUUUUAUAAUUUAAAAUAAAAUAUUGGUCUUGUAAACCAAAAAUAAGGAAACUUUAAAAACU
Molecule: transfer RNA, 63 nt
Filed under: Curculionidae sp. BMNH 1039956
Lineage: Eukaryota; Metazoa; Arthropoda; Insecta; Coleoptera; Curculionidae
Description: tRNA-Thr
Rfam family: tRNA
About the family: Transfer RNA (tRNA) molecules are approximately 80 nucleotides in length. Their secondary structure includes four short double-helical elements and three loops (D, anti-codon, and T loops).
Source: RNAcentral